UUACCGAGUUUACAACUCCCAAACCCAUGUGAACAUACCUACUGUUGCUUCGGCGGGAUUGCCCCGGGCGCCUCGUGUGCCCCGGAUCAGGCGCCCGCCUAGGAAACUUAAUUCUUGUUUUAUUUUGGAAUCUUCUGAGUAGUUUUUACAAAUAAAUAAAAACUUUCAACAACGGAUCUCUUGGUUCUGGCAUCGAUGAAGAACGCAGCGAAAUGCGAUAAGUAAUGUGAAUUGCAGAAUUCAGUGAAUCAUCGAAUCUUUGAACGCACAUUGCGCCCGCCAGUAUUCUGGCGGGCAUGCCUGUCUGAGCGUCAUUUCAACCCUCAUGCCCCUAGGGCGUGGUGUUGGGGAUCGGCCAAAGCCCGCGAGGGACGGCCGGCCCCUAAAUCUAGUGGCGGACCCGUCGUGGCCUCCUCUGCGAAGUAGUGAUAUUCCGCAUCGGAGAGCGACGAGCCCCUGCCGUUAAACCCCCAACUUUCCAAGGUUGACCUCAGAUCAGGUAGGAAUACCCGCUGAACUUAAGCAUAUC
RNAcentral lists this ribosomal RNA (529 nucleotides) under Clonostachys rosea. Its description in RNAcentral is "eukaryotic LSU rRNA". The stretch from base 161 to 314 matches the Rfam family "5.8S ribosomal RNA". The record is from RNAcentral. Lineage: Eukaryota; Fungi; Ascomycota; Sordariomycetes; Hypocreales; Bionectriaceae.